UGGGGAAUCUUGCGCAAUGGGCGAAAGCCUGACGCAGCGACGCCGCGUGGGUGAUGAAGGCCUUCGGGUUGUAAAGCCCUGUGGGGAGAGAAGAAUAAGCAUUGGCUAAUAUCCAAUGCGAUGACGGUAUCUCCUUAGCAAGCACCGGCUAACUCUGUGCCAGCAGCCGCGGUAAUACAGAGGGUGCGAACGUUGUUCGGAUUUACUGGGCGUAAAGCGCGUGUAGGCGGUCGUGCAAGUCGGGUGUGAAAGCCCCAGGCUCAACCUGGGAAGUGCAUUCGAUACUGCGAGACUCGAGUCCCGGAGAGGAUGGUAGAAUUCUCGGUGUAGAGGUGAAAUUCGUAGAUAUCGGGAAGAAUACCGGUGGCGAAGGCGGCCAUCUGGACGGUGACUGACGCUGAGACGCGAAAGCGUGGGGAGCAAACAG
Molecule: ribosomal RNA, 427 nt
Filed under: uncultured bacterium
Lineage: Bacteria
Description: bacterial SSU rRNA
Rfam family: Bacterial small subunit ribosomal RNA
Source: RNAcentral